Podarcis lilfordi (Lilford's wall lizard) is the source of this 71-nucleotide non-coding RNA. NCBI's taxonomy places the organism in Eukaryota, Metazoa, Chordata, Lepidosauria, Squamata, Lacertidae. The record is from the annotation of a GenBank genome assembly.
GGGUCAUAGCUCAGUGGUAGAUUAUCCACUUAACAUGUAGACAGUCACAGGUUCAAUCCCUGGCAUCUUCA